Molecule: transfer RNA, 74 nt
Filed under: Coleochaete orbicularis
Lineage: Eukaryota; Viridiplantae; Streptophyta; Coleochaetophyceae; Coleochaetales; Coleochaetaceae
Also listed under: 1 other name
Description: tRNA-Met
Rfam family: tRNA
About the family: Transfer RNA (tRNA) molecules are approximately 80 nucleotides in length. Their secondary structure includes four short double-helical elements and three loops (D, anti-codon, and T loops).
Source: RNAcentral
GGCAGAAUAGUUUAGUUGGUUAGAACAGUGGAAUCAUAAUUCACAUGUCGAAGGUUCAAAUCCUUCUUCUGCUA